This 246-nucleotide ribosomal RNA is filed under the name uncultured bacterium. Its description in RNAcentral is "partial 16S ribosomal RNA". It matches the Rfam family "Bacterial small subunit ribosomal RNA", at positions 349 to 608 of the family's 1533-position model. The record is from RNAcentral.
UAGCAGUGGGGAAUAUUGGACAAUGGGCGAAAGCCUGAUCCAGCAACGCCGCGUGAGGGAUGACGGCCUUCGGGUUGUAAACCUCUUUCAGCGCAGACGAAGCGAAAGUGACGGUAUGCGCAGAAGAAGCACCGGCCAACUACGUGCCAGCAGCCGCGGUAAUACGUACGUGCGAGCGUUGUCCGGAAUUAUUGGGCGUAAAGGGCUCGUAGGCGGUCUGUUGCGUCAGGAGUGAAAACUCGGGGC